Molecule: ribosomal RNA, 496 nt
Filed under: uncultured bacterium
Lineage: Bacteria
Description: partial 16S ribosomal RNA
Rfam family: Bacterial small subunit ribosomal RNA
Source: RNAcentral
GAUGAACGCUGGCGGCGUGCCUAAUACAUGCAAGUCGAGCGAACAGACGAGGAGCUUGCUCCUCUGACGUUAGAGGCGGACGGGUGAGUAACACGUGGAUAACCUACCUAUAAGACUGGGAUAACUUCGGGAAACCGGAGCUAAUACCGGAUAAUAUAUUGAACCGCAUGGUUCAAUAGUGAAAGACGGUUUUGCUGUCACGUAUAGAUGGACCCGCGCCGCAUUAGCUAGUUGGUAAGGUAACGGCUUACCAAGGCAACGAUGCGUAGCCGACCUGAGAGGGUGAUCGGCCACACUGGAACUGAGACACGGUCCAGACCCCUACGGGAGGCAGCAGUAGGGAAUCUUCCGCAAUGGGCGAAAGCCUGACGGAGCAACGCCGCGUGAGUGAUGAAGGUCUCGGAUCGUAAAACUCUGUUAUUAGGGAAGAACAAAUGUGUAAGUAACUAUGCACGUCUUGACGGUACCUAAUCAGAAAGCCACGGCUAACUACGUG